Molecule: RNA transcript, 2128 nt
Organism: Scylla paramamosain (green mud crab)
Lineage: Eukaryota; Metazoa; Arthropoda; Malacostraca; Decapoda; Portunidae
Gene name: histone H3.v1-like
Exons: 7
Source: RefSeq, a predicted model, not a curated record
AGAUUACAAGACAAGCACACAAGAUUAAUAGAUGAAAGAAAAGGAGGGAGACGAGGAGGAAGAAGAAGAAUAAGAGGAGGAGGAGGAGGAGGAGGAGGAGGAGAAGAGGUGCUCUGUGAAGACCAAACAGCAUUUCACAGCUCUUCCUGACUACCCAAAGCACAUCAAACUGGACAAGCACAGUUUUGAAGAAGAGGAGGAGGAAGAGGAAGAGGAAGGAGGAGGAGGAGGAGGAGGAGGGUUAGGUGUGGCCCUCCCUCCCCCUCCCACACCACUGCAGUCCCAGCCUCUGAUUGGCCAGCCCUCAGCCAAUCAGGAGAGAGACUUUAUGGCCUUGCAGGUGGAGGAAGGCCGAAGGGAACUGGAGGAGGAGAGAAAGAGGCACAGGCUGGAGGUUGAAAACAAAAGGUCUAGAUUUAGAAUGAUGACAACGACCACAGCCACCACCAGCACCUCCCCCACUAGUCUGCCUUUCUCUUCAAGUCCCAGCGAGGAGCACCCGCCCUCCUCCCCAGCCUCCUCUCUCAACAGAUGGGAGGGCCUGGACAGACUGAGAGAGGAACUGAUGAAAGAGAGAGAGAUAGAGAUUGAAGAGAGAAUUGCAAGUGUAAGAGAGGAAGAAAGGAGGAAAUUAGAUGACGAAAAACAGAAGCAGUUGGCCAAAAUAAUAAUGUCAGAAGUAAGACAAAGCUUUGAAGAAAGAACAUCUGUCAUAAAGUGUUACUGGAGGCACGAAAAUGUCAAAGAAGUGCAAAGACAAUUCAGAAGACACUUUGACAGGGAUCCACCAAGGUGACGCACCAUUGCUCGCAUCACAGCUAAAUUUGCAUCAACCAGCAGCAGCAGCAGCAGCAGCAUGUCAGUAGUAGCAGGAGUAGUGAAUGGUCACUCGUAUGUGGUGACUACUUGGACUAUUAGGCCGCCCUUGUAGUGUGCUGGACUAUUGGUCAACAAGGAGCCCUGAAAGUUACGUGGUACAACUAUUUCGGCGAUAGUAAUGGCUGUAAGUAGUAGUAGUAGUUGUAGUAAUAGUAGUAGUAAUAGUAGUUAUGCGUGUAAUGUCAAUAUGGUCCAUUUUGUAACUGUAAUUGGAAAAAUUCUCGACUUUGUGUUUCUUAAAGGCGUGACGUAAUUAGAGAAAACGUAUGUAUUUUAAGGGACACUAGCCUGUACUUCAUUAUUCCUGUUUAUUGCUAUUAUAGGAGUUUCUUGAUAGUUUUACUUGUAUAUACUAUUUAAAUCUACUAUUCUAUUUAUUAUGUGUAAGUGGGAGAUGUCAGAGAAAGAGCCAUAUUUAUAAUUUGCAUUUGUAAGGUCAAUAAGGUCUAUUUUAUUAAGUAAAUUUAUAAGAUGCUCGACCUUAUGUUUCUUAAAUGAGUGACGUAAUUAGAGAAAACGUGUGUCUUUUAAGGAACACUAACCUAUACUUCAUUAAUGUGGUUAUUGUUGUUAUACGAGUUUUCCGGUGUAUAUACUAUUUAAAUCUACUAUUUUGUGUUGUAUAAUACUAUGUUUGAAUGGUAGAACUAAGAGAAAGAGUCAUAUUUGUAAUGUUUACAUGUAAGGUCAAUAUGGUCUAGUCUGUAACUGUAAUUUGAAGGAUUUUCAACCUUUUGUUUCUUAGUAAAUGACGUAACUAGAAAAAACGAAUCUUCUUUAAGGGGAAACUAAACAACAAUGAAUUAUUCCUCUUUAUUCUUAAUACUGCAGAUAUUUGGGUAGUUUUAGGCGAAUAUUCUCUUUAGACGUAGUGUUUUGUAAUGUGCGGCAGUACUAGAUGCCACACUGAAGUGGUAGAAGUGAGAGAAGAAGCCUUAUUUAUGAAAUGUGACAGAAAACCUAACAAUGAAUGGAGGGUGAACAAGGAGGAGCGACAGAGGGAAGAAAGGGGCAAACAACAGGAACAAAAGGAACAACACGAAUAGGAGAGAGAGAACAGGAGGAGGAGGAGGAGGAAGAGAAACUGAAAGAUACGGAAGAGGAGGAGCAGGAGGAAGAGGAGGAGGAAGAAGAGGAAAACAAAGAAAAACUUCGAUAACAAAACUCUCUUUCUCUCUCUCUCUCUCUCUCUCUCUCUCUCUCUCUCUCUCUCUCUCUCUCUCUCUCUCUCUCUCUCUCUCUCUCUCUC